Molecule: long non-coding RNA, 43425 nt
Filed under: Triticum aestivum (bread wheat)
Lineage: Eukaryota; Viridiplantae; Streptophyta; Magnoliopsida; Poales; Poaceae
Source: RNAcentral
UUAGACUAAAGAGUUACUUGAAAUGUGUUUCAUUUGUUCUUUACAAAGUGCUAGAUACAAUUUCACUGCACAUAAGAAUUUUGAAGCUCGAUUAAAAAGGUAAUUUCAUUCAUACAAACCAUAACUAAACAACGUGAAUGUAAAUAUAUAUGACUGGGUCAUACUUCCUAAUACAAAAGCAAGCAACGGACUGGUAAUAGGUAGGCCUAUUUUAGAGAGAUUGUGGUAAAUUAUAGUUCAUUAUUACAUGCAAAAUGUUUUUGCUUCGGAGCAGAACACUGGUCUAUCUUUGUCUUCAUAUCCUUUUCUUCUCAGAGCUGGUGUGAUGCCUUGCUCCUAUUCAUGGAUCUUGACCUACAAUUUUUUAACAAACUAAAUUAGUUAUUUAUUCAAUGGGAAAUCUGAAGUCGGGAUUACUUCGCCAAUAUUGUUAGCAAGUUUAUGAGGGAAAAGAAAGCAAUGUAACUUCCAAAAGUGAAGGUAAGAAUUUAGUACAUAGUAGUGUAGCUGAGAAAGUAGGAACAUGAGCUGCGACAUGUUUCAGAAAAAUGGUCGAGGUUCCCUGAUCCUAGUAACAUGAGCUGCGAUUAUUUUGCCAGGGACUCAUGGCUGUAUAUAACUUUCACAAGCAACAUCCCAUAUGUGACAACCUACCUUUGAUCACAAAGCUAUAUGAUCUAUAUAAUGGAGAAAAAUGGAGCUUUCAAUAACCUGCAUACCUAUUUUUCCCAAAGCAAACCUAAGAAUGAAGUACACAGUAUUGUAACUAGGAAAGUAGGAAAAUUAAAUCAUAUACUCUGAAACAUAUUGCAGAAAGAGAAGUGUGAAGCACGCUUCCUUGAAAUUUGGACACAAUCAGACAUUCAUUUUUUUUGAGCCUGCUAUAUAUCUAUGGGGAAGCAUGGAUAAGAAAAGAUAGAAAUUUAGAAAAUGUAUGCAAAUUCACAUAUUUUUCUAAAAUCCCAUGGAAAUGUGUGGGUCCACUUGGUCUAUCAGGACGGUGUAUUUCAAAAAAUCAAGUCAGGCAGCUAAUAGUUUGGAUAGAACCUCUAUAGAUAGUAGAAAGCAACAUCCAACGAUUCGACUGUACAGACUAAAAAGUUCGCCAGGAAAUGAGAAGAGCCAGCAAAAUAGACUAAGUUACAGAAGAAGCACCUGAAAUAAAAUAGUGGCAGUUAGUUUGGCAAGAAACCUGCAUAUAUUUGAGUGCAAUUCGCGUCCUCUAGGCCAUCGUUCUCACGCAUUUUUUCCUAGUAAGUAGAAAGCAUAUAACUCCGCCUAUGUCUUCUAGGCAUAGCCGGUCCCAAGCCCGGGUAAAGGAGGAGGGUUGUGAUAGGCUUGGCGAGCCAACGUAAAAACUAGCCAGUCCCAUAGGUAUGAAACCCAUUUGAGCGAGAAUAGUACUAGGAUGGGUGACCUCCUAGGAAGUCCUCGUGAAAGGGUUUCAUAUCUAAGGGUUGUGAUAGGCUUGGCGAGCCAACGUAAAAACUAGCCAGUCUUUUGGGUAUGAAACCCAUUUGGGCGAGAGUAGUACUAGGAUGGGUGACCUCCUGGGAAGUCCUCGUGAAAGGGUUUCAUAUCUAGCCUACCCCAACUUGUUUGGGAUAAAAGGCUUCGUAAGUAAGUAAGUAGAAAGCAAAGAUAGAGUAUGAAAAGGGGAUACAUAUUACACAACUAGUAGUUUCAGAGCUUUAGAAGGCCGUCCAGUUUUAGAUAGUAUGCUUUCACCUAUGCAGAACUGGACGUUGUACUACUUAUUUUAGAGUCAAGACAUAUUUCAAUCUCUAAAUGAAACCUGACACGAAUCAUCUGCUACUCUAGAAAUUUGAUUUAUCACGGCUAACCAACAUGGAACGAUCAUCUGACUUUCUGGCUAUACUAACGUGUAAAUAUUUGGCAGGUAUAGACUCGUUCAAGUUGACUGCAAAAGCAAUGAAGGUUGUUGUAGCUAGAUAAAUGACUCGUUCAAGUUGACCGCCAAAUUUUUGUUAGGAAGUGGAUGCCUACUAAUAGCGCAUCUCGGGGAAUCACAGUGAGAAUUAAAGGCCUGGAGAAAUGCAAAACGGCAAGAUAAAAUUCAGACAUUGGCAUAGAAAGAAACUAAUAGGAAAACAUGCACCAUCAAUCACUCACCAUAAGGACAGCAACUGGACAAUAGCUGAGCUGCGGUAGAUGGUUACCAAGUAAUGAACGGAAGGAAAAUCACUACAAAAUAACCAUGAGAACACCAAACUAUCUGCAAACAUGAAGGCUCUUUCUUGGAUUAGACAGGACGAGUACGCCAUGAUAAUCCAAAGAACAAAAAGAUGGAUUUAAAUUUAUAGAGCAAUGCUAGGAAGAUAUUGUCUUGAACAACAGAAAGUAAGAAAACAAUAAAGCAAGCAACAAACCUGCAAAAAAUAUCCUCCAAGUUUUGCGUGAAAAUCCAUCGAAUAUAUCCUCGAUCGCAUAUGUCUCUGUCAAGGUACUCUACAGGAAGGUUCUCCAAAAAACAGAGUAACAUUGUUUUUCCUUUUUGAGAGUUUGAUAGCAAACCUGCAAUGUAUCAAAAAGGGAUUAGAAUUGAUAAGAAAAUAAAUCUCUGCUAUUUUAUAGUCGAAGAACAUGCUUCAAUCGACAAAAAUACAAAAACAUUGAAAUUUGAUGGUGUAAGGAACCUGCAGUGAUAUACUGAGCCAUAAACUACUUUGCAAUGAUAUACUGAACCAUAAACCUGAAGCUCUACUUUGAUGCCAAUAAAUUUAUAACUGGGAAAGUAGGAAAAUGAAAUCAUAUACUCUAAAUCAUAUUGUAGAAACAGAAGCGUGAAGCACACUUCCUUGAAAUUUGAACACAAGUGAACAUUCAUUUAGCAUACAGAGGUAACAUAAACUUAAGCAAGACUAUUUAAUUGAUCAUGGUACAUGGUGGAUUUUUUAUAAUUGAUAUUCCGCUGGAAGUGGAUAAGUUCUGUAGAUAUUCGGAUGCUCAUUUUCAGUAGUCAUAUAAAUCGACCUGAUUUCCCAGCUUAGACGUUUCAGACAUGUCUCACAAUAUGAUGUGACCAUGGGUUCAAUCCCAUGUUCAAUUAUGUACGAAGAGAGGCCCCAUUUGGAAACAUGUAAGCACAAUCAAAUGCCUGGGCACAUAGUUCUGUUUACAAAGCUAUUUGCAGGUUUGAAUGCGUUGCAGCAAGAUGGCAUGAUAAUCUAUAGUAACCAAGAAUGUUCGAAAAACAAGAUAGAAAAUCAUAGCAGAGGAACUGAGCAAAUCAGUUAAGCGCGAUAUGUAAGACAUGACUGACAUGAUGGAACAAGAUGCAUGAAUGGCAAGUAAAUACUACUACCACAUGAUGUAGAGAAGGAGAGCACGACGUUUUAAGCAUAUAGUAAUAUGAAUGGAGCUCACGGGAAUAUGGCGCGAUGACUGGCUGUCUUCACUUCCUGUAAAACAAUUAUGAUUUCCAUCAGAUAAAGGAGAAAGCUACUUACAAACCUACAGUAGAGAUGCUACAUAAUGUAAGCUCAAAAGAACACAAGCUUUCAAGUUAAUGUAAUGAUCAGGCCAAGACUCUGCACCUAUCAUCAUCACAACUGUGGACAUACGAUGUGCUGUGUAUUUUUAGAUCUUUCAUUCAAAUAAUGUGUAGCACUGGCAGACAUACAAAGGCUGACCCAUGUUAUUUCAGUCUUAUGACUUUUACUUUAGCAGAACACUCAUUUGGUCAAUCUUGGUCGAAGAGCACCGAAACAAUUUUAGGAACAUCCAUUAAGAAAAUAGUAACAAUAGCAGCACAGUCAGGCAUAUAAAUUGGUGAGUAAAACAUAUCUUGUUUGGAUUAUUCUACCAGGAUAGAUAAUAAAACUUCACCUGCCAUGUCCUUUUUCAGCAUAGUGCCAAUAUAUACUUCAAAAAAGCAUUGGACUACCAUAUUGUCUAAUAGAUUCUGGGAUCCCUGAGGAACGUGGUCUUCUAUGUCAGAUCUGCACACCUCAAGUUUAAAAAUACAAAUAUUAGCAAAGUAAAAUAUGAGUGAGGAGGAAGUGAGGGAGAGAAAGAGUGGAGCACCAAGUUCGCCGCUGGCCUGCAUCGCUCGAGCCACCUCCAACAGGCACGUGUUGUUCUCCUUGUACUCCAGAUGCACGAGACAUCCAUUGGAGGAGACAUGAGCUCCUGCUUCCUCUCGCCUUCCCACACCGCCUGUUCACCUCGAGCUCCUUGCCCGGCGGGGGGUGGAGGCAGAGGUGGCACCUCAUGAUGCAGAGGAGACGACGACGCGGUGGCGCGACAAGUCGACCCGCCGGCCGCCGGCAGGUGCGCGAGGCCUCACCCUGCCCCUUACCCCCACCCGUUGUUGCUUGACUUCCUCACCGGCCUCCUCCUUCCCCUUGUCGUUGCAUCCUACCCCACACCUGCACCGCGAUGACCCUGCCGGCGCUGCUCCCCCACGACGAUACGUCCGAUCUGGAUCGACGGCAACAUGGAAGAGGACAGGAGGAGGUAAGCAGAGGAGAAGGUCGGCGGUGGAUCAACGACGACGUGGUAGAGGAGAGGAGGAGGCGAGUGGAGAGACAAGGCCGGCGGCUGCAGGUGAGGAGAGGAUGAGGGAGAGAGGGAGGGGUGUGGCAGCUUGUGGGGAUGGAGGGGAAGGAGAAAGAGCGCUAGGGUUCGUUUGGCGGGUCGGGUGGGUGUAGGGCGAGAAGCAGGCGAUUGGGUGCGGAGCGUGCCGAGCUCAUUGGGCAAAACCUGGUGCACCCGGAAACAGCCAAUCCAGCCAACAAGAGCCCGGUGUGAGCCCACUUGUCAUUGGACAACUAAAACAACUGCGAGGUGAAAAUCGGGUUUAACCGCGAGGUAAAGAUCUGACGGUCCAGACAUGCUAGAAAGCUAAAUCCGAUGGCCGACGAAGGCCCAAUUGAGGGAGCUUUCUGGAGAAGAGUUGGCUAGCCUCUUUAUUGGUUUAAAUAGGCUUCCUCAAAUGCUCUAGGUAUUCAUGAGAAAGCAAGUUGAAUGCAUAACCACUUAGUUUCUUUUGUUGAGUUUUCAUACAUUUAUAGCUCUAGUGCGUCCGUUGCAUGGCAAUCCCUAAUCUUUGCAUUGACAUUAAUUGAUGGGCAUCUCCCUAUCCCAUUGAUUAGUCGCGUCAAUGUGAGACUUUCUUUUUUUUGUCUUAUCCACAUAACCCCAUCAUCAUAUUCUAUUUCAUCCAUAGUGCUAUAUCCAUGGCUCACGCUCAUGUAUUGCGUGAAAGUUGAAAAAAGUUUGAGAUUGCUUAAGUAUGAAACAAUUACUUGGCUUGUUAUCGGGUUGUGCAUGAUGAGAGCAUUCUUGUGUGAUGAAAAUGGAGCAUGACCAAACUAUAUGAUUUUGUAGGGAUGAACUUUCUUUUGCCAUGUUAUUUUGAGAAGACAUGAUUGUUUAGUUAGUAUGCUUGAAGUAUUAUUAUUUUUAUGUUAAUAUUAAACUUUUGUUUUGAAUAUUUCAAAUCUGAAUAUUCAUGUCACAAUAAAGAAAAUUAUAUUGAGAAUUAUACUAGGUAGCAUUCCACAUCUAAAAUUCUGUUUUUUAUCAUAUACCUACUCGAGGACGAGCGGGAAUUAAGCUUGGAGAUGCUUGAUACGUCUCCAACGUAUUUAUAAUUUUUUAUUGCUCCAUGCUAUUAUAUUAUCUAUUUUGGAUGUUAAUGGACUUAUUUAUACAUUUUUAUAUUAUUUUUGGGACUAACCUACUAAUCCAAGGCCCAGUGCAAUUUGCUGUUUUUUUGCCUAUUUCAGUGUUUCGCAGAAAAAGAAUAUCAAACGGAAUCCAAACGGAAUGAAACUUUCGGGAGAGUUAUUUUUGGAACAAAUGUGAACCAGGUGACUUGAAAUGGACGUCAAGAAAUCAACGAGGAGGCCACGAGGCAGGGAGGCGCGCCUGCCCCCCUGGGCGCGCCCCCACCCUCGUGACUCCACCGACCUACUUCUUCCUCCUAUAUAUAUCCAUAUACCCAGAAAACAUCGAGGAGCACCACGAAACCCUAUUUCCACCGUCACAACCUUCUGUACCCAAGAGAUCCCAUCUUGGGGCCCUUUCCGGAGCUCCGCCGGAGGGGGAAUCGAUCACGGAGGGCUUCUACAUCAACACCAUAGCCUCUCCGAUGAUGUGUGAGUAGUUUACCACAGACCUUCGAGUCCAUAGUUAUUAGCUACAUGGCUUCUUCUCUCUCUUUGGAUCUCAAUACAAGGUUCUCCUCGAUCUUCUUGGAGAUCUAUUUGGUGUAACUCUUUUUGCGGUGUGUUCGUCGAGAUCCGAUGAAUUGUGGGUUUAUGAUCAAGUUUAUCUAUGAACAAUAUUUGAUUCUUCUCUAAAAUCUUUUAUGUAUGAUUGGUUAUCUUUAUAAGUCUCUUCGAAUUAUCAGUUUUGUUUGGCCUACUAGAUUGAUCUUUCUUGCAAUGGGAGAAGUGCAUAGCUUUGGGUUCAGUCUUGCGGUGUCAUUUCCCAGUGACAGCAGGGGCAGCAAGGCACAUAUUGUAUUGUUGCCAUCGAGGAUAAAAAGAUGGGGUUUAUAUCAUAUUGCUUGAGUUUAUCCCUCUACAUCAUGUCAUCUUGCCUAAUGCGUUACUCUGUUCUUAUGAACUUAAUACUCUAGAUGCAUACUGGAUAGCGGUCGAUGUGUGGAGUAAUAGUAGUAGAUGCAGAAUCGUUUCGGUCUACUUGUCGCGGACGUGAUGCCUAUAUACAUGAUCAUGCCUAGAUAUUCUCAUAAUUAUGCACUUUUCUAUCAAUUGCUGGACAUUAAUUUGUUCACUCACCGUAAUACUUAUGCUAUCUCGAGAGAAUCCACUAGUGAAACCUAUGGCCCCCGGGUCUAUCUUUUAUCAUAUAAGUUUCCAAUCUAUUUUAUUUUGCAAUCUUUACUUUCAAUCUAUAUCAUAAAAAUAUCAAAAAUAUUUAUCUUAUUAUUAUUAUCUCUAUCAAAUCUCACUCUCAUAAGUGACCGUGAAGGGCUUGACAACCCCUUUAUCGCGUUGGUUGUGAGGUUCUUAUUUGUUUGUGUAGGUACGAGAGACUUGCGUGUAGUCUGGAUUGAUACCUUGGUUCUCAAAAACUGAGGGAAAUACUUACGCUACUUUGCUGCAUCACCCUCUCCUCUUCAAGGAAAAACCAAUGCAGUGCUCGAGAGGUAGCAAAUACCUACCGCCGUUGUGCUGCAUCAUCCCUUCCUCUUUGGGGAAAUACCGACGUAAUUUCAAGCGACAUCACGCGCCUGCGCUUGAAAGCACAAGUGCUCCUUGGGUGAUUUUGGUAAUUAAUGUCAACAUAUCUCUUGUUGGACUAAUACUUUUAUCUCGUAUAUUUCAGAAAGUUCAGCAAAGGCAUGGAAUGGACAAGAGGAUGUGGAACCCCUUCAAGAAUCUAAGGACAAGGAUUGGCAAAAGCUCAAGACUCUACAUUUUCAGUUCAGUGAUCCAAGAUCACAUUGAGUCCAUAGGAAAGUCAAUACUAUUAAAAGGGGAUGAGGUGUUGCUUAAUGGCUUGCUUGCUCAAAGUGCUUAGUGAUAUGCUCCAAAAGCCCUCGACCACUCUCUCAUUUCCACAUAUGUCCCAAAAGUCAAACUCGGCCCCACCGAUUUGAUCUAUCCGGUGCCACCGAGUUCACUUGACAUAGCCACUGCUAGAAACCCUAGACACUUCGGUCUUACCGAUGGGAUCUCGAUAUCACCGAGAUGGGCUUGCAAACUCUCUGUUGCCUGUUGCAAUUAUUUCGGUCUCACCGAGAUAAGCAAUCGGUCCCACCAAAUUUGCUUGACCAACUCUCUGUUUUGCUUAUUACCAAAAUCGGUCUCACCGAGUUUGUGUAAUCGGUCAAACUAAGUUGAGGUUUUACCCUAACCCUAUCACAUCGGUCCCACCAAGUUGAUCAUAUUGGUCCCACUGAAAAGUCUAACAUUCACAUUUUGAACUGAAUCGGUCUGAUCGAGUUUGGUGAAUUGUGUGUACCGGCUAGAUUUUGUGUGGAGGCUAUAUAUAUCCCUCCACCCUUCCUCCAUUCAUUAGGAGAGCCAUCAGAACAUGCCUACACUUCCAGCAUUCAUUUUCUGAGAGAGAACCGCCUACUCAUGUGUUGAGAUCAAGAUAUUCCAUUCCAACCACAAGAAUCUUGAUCUUCAGCCUUCCCCAAGUUGCUUUCCACUCAAAUCAUCUUUCCACCAUAGCCAAAUCUGUGAGAGAGAGUUGAGUGUUGGGGAGACUAUCAUUUGAAGCACAAGAGCAAGGAAUUCAUCAUCAACACACCAGCUAUUACCUUUUGGAGAGUGGUGUCCCCUAGAUUGGUUAGGUGUCACUUGGGAGCCUCCGUCAAGAUUGUGGAGUUGAACCAAGGAGUUUGUAAGGGUAAGGAGAUCGCCUACUUCGUGAAGAUCUACCCAAGUGAGGCAAGUCCUUCAUGGGUGAUGGCCAUGGUGGGAUAGACAAAGGCUGCUUCUUCGUGGACCCUUCGUGGGUGGAGCUCUUUGUGGACUCGCGCAACCGUUACCCUUCGUGGGUUGAAGUCUCCAUCAACGUGGAUGUACGAUAGCACCACCUAUCGAAACCACGCCAGAAAUCUCCAUGUCUCCAAUUGUGUUUGCUCCCUCUAAACUUCAAUCCCAUCCCUUUACUUUCUUGCAAGUUGCAUGCUUUACUUCCCAAUGCUCAUAUACUCUUGCCAUGCUUGCUUGAAAUGUAUUGUGAAUGUUUAAACUUGUGCUAAAACUCCACCUUAACUUAAAGAAAUUAAAAAGUGAUACUUUCUUUGUUGAGGAUCUAAUCACCCCCCCCCUCUAUACAUCUCUUCUCGUUCCUACAGCGCUACCGAUGAUGACGGCUCAACCGAGGUCCUCUUGAUGGAUCACCACGCCUGGGUCUUUGCCGUCGCGCCGGUGGUGGUAGGGCAGCCAUCAGCCGCCAUGGUUGGGAAGUAUCUCUUCGUUUUGCUGGGGAACCUCAACCUGGUUGCCUCCUUCUCCAUCUUUCUUUUUUCACUGGGACUAAUUUCUAUGUUUCUUGGUGGGAUGGCGAGGUUGUCAAAUCCCUAGCACUCACCACAGCACGGCGGCGGCUACCUGCACCACCUCGCCGUUCAUUGUUAUGGAAGCGUGAUGUGAUGAGCUUCUCCUGGCGGCUUUGAGGUGAAGCCAGGGGAGGAAGGGAGGGAUGCAUUGCCAUGCUUGAUCUUGACAUCUUGUAUUGAUAGUUUGACAUAGUGCUGGGUGACAGUGGGAAGCCUACUGGAAUCAACUUUUGAUGUUCGAUCCCCUCUACUUCUUCAACAUUGUUCAAAUGAUACACAUUGUGCUUAGUAUUUCAUUUCCUAGGAAUAAGGUCUGGAAUAUUUUCCGGCCAAAAGGUCUGCAAUAUAAAUAUAUGGAUGGUGACACUUUGACUAGUGGCCCGUGCGCUGAUCACCCGGCAAGCGGGGCGUCGGCUAGGUUUGCUCAAGCAAACUCUCUUCCUGAUUAACUUUUUGUGUCUCAUGUUUCUUUCGUCCAUCCAAACUUUGAUUUCCAUUAUGGUGUACAUGCCAUGUGUUUGAUGCAAUGCACAAGAGGAAUCAUUGGGCUCAACGCUCUUUAUUUUCUAUGUACAAGGAGCCGAGGAGUACAUCAUGGACUCACUACAACACAUGCCAUUAACCUCCGUAGUCCAUUAUUGUAACUGAUGUUCAUAUCAAUUUACCAUAUGGAAGAUUAAAGUUUCACUCUGCAUCAAGAUCUUUAUGUGGUUCGUCCAUAAAGAAGUCAUCUUGACCAAAGAUAAUUUGAUGAAAAUAAAUUGGGUUGGUAACCCCAGGUGCUGUUUUUGUGAUCAAAACGAAACGAUUAAACACCUCUUUCUCGAGUGUCCACUUGCAAAAUUGUUAUGAUGGUCUAUCCAUAUAGCUUUUAACAUCCAACCUCCAAUGAGCAUAAACACGUUAUUUGGAACGUGGCUUAAUGGAGUAGACAUACACAAAGCUAAACAUAUUCGGAUAGGGAUAUGUGCUUUAUUAUGGGCUAUAUGGAACACUAGAAAGUUAUGGGUUUUAAUGGUACAACAUUCACCAAUUUUUUGUAGGUUAUCUAAAGAGCUAUAGCCUGGAUUCGUAUGUGGUCAUUACUCACUCAUGCAGACUACGUGGGGUCUAUGGUUAUUGGGUGCAACCGCUGGGAGAUGGUAGCACGGGCUAUCUUCAGCCGAUUUGGAUGGCGAGUUAAUAAUUGGCUAGGUGUGUAGGCAUCGUAGCCUAUUCUUUAUCGUCGGAUGUGGCACUUUAUUGCCGGAUUUUUAGCUUCCUUGGCUGUUAAGACUCUGUUUCGAUUUCUAAUAAUAUGGCUACACGCAUCGACUGAUGUAGAGGCCGGAUGUAUUGCACCUUUUCAAAUAAAAAUAAAAAUUAUGUUACAGGUAAAAAUGUGUUGUCUCAAGAGCCAUCAGAGUUGUUGGUUGCAGGUGAAGAUUGAAGGUGAAGAUUGAAGGCCAUCAGAGUUGUUGAUUACAGGUAAAAAUGUAUUGCACCUUCUCAACCCUUCUUAUAGCGUUGUUAGUUGCAGGUGAAGAUUGAAGGCCGUUCCUUGUUGGAACAUCUUUUAUUUACUUGUUGGGAUAUCAUUAUAUUGCUAUGUUAUCUUAAAUGCAUCUAUAUACUUGGUAAAGGGUGGAAGGCUCGGCCUCUCGCCUAGUGUUUUGUUCCACUCUUGCUACCCUAGUUUCCGUCAUAUCGGUGUUAUGUUCCUGGAUUUUGCGUUCCUUACGCGGUUGGGUUAUAAUGGGAACCCCUUGAUAGUUCGUCUUGAUUAAAGCUUUUCCAGCAAUGCCCAACCUUGGUUUUACCAUUUUCCACCUAGCCUUUCUUUCCCUUGGGUUCUGCAGACUCAAGGGUCAUCAUUAUUUUAACCCCCCGGGCCAGUGCUCCUCUGAGUGUUGGUCCAAACCGUCAGCCGCCGGUGGCUACCAGGGGCAACCCUGGGCUGGCCUACCGGAAGUUUGGACAAUCUGAGUGUGCCCUGAGAAAGAGAUAUGUGCAGCUCCUAUCGGGAUUUGUCGGCACAUUCGGGCGGUGUUGCUGGUCUUGUUUUAACCUGUCGAAGUGUCUUGAAUUACCGAGAUACCGAGUCUGAUCGGAACGUCUUGGGAGGAGGUCUAUUCCUUCGUUGACCGUGAGAGCUUGUCAUGGGCUAAGUUGGGACUCCCCUACAGGGAUUGAACUUUCGAAAGCCGUGCCCGCGGUUAUGGGCAGAUGGGAAUUUGUUAAUGUCCGGUUGUAGAUAACUUGAACCUUAACUUAAUUAAAAUGAAUCAACUGAGUGUGUUACCGUGAUGGCCUCUUCUCGGCGGAGUCCGGGAAGUGGACACGGUGUUGGAGUAAUGUUUGCGCAGGUUGCUCUCUAGUUUCUCGCUCACGCUUUGCCUCCUCUUCCGCUCUGUUUUGCGAAUAAGUUAGCCACCAUACUUGCUAGUCGCUUGCUGCAGCUCCACAUAUUUCUACCUUGCCAUACCUAUAAGCUUAAAUAGUCUUGAUCGCGAGGGUGCGAGAUUGCUGAGUCCCUGUGGCUCACAGUUUACUAUUACACCAGAUGCAGGGCCUGAUGAUUCCGCUCCAGGAGACGCGUAUGAGCUCAAGUGGGAGUUCGACGAAGACUCUCGACGUUACUAUGUUUCCUUUCCCGAUGAUCAGUAGUGGUGCCCAGUUGGGGGUGAACGGGACCGUUAUCGCAUGUUGAGUUCUUUUUUAUUUUGGCGCCGUAGUCCGGCCAUGAGUGUUUGGAUGAUGUAAUGUUAUUUAUGUACUUGAUUGACGUGGCGAGUGUAAGCCAACUAUGUUAUCUCCCCUUUAUUAUUAUAUUACAUUGGAUGUUGUGAAGAUUGCCUAACUUGCGACAUAUGCCUUCAAUGCGAUUAUGCCUCUAAGUCGUGGCUCGACACGUGGGAGAUAUAGUCGCAUCGAAGGUGUUACAAGUUGGUAAUCAGAGCCUUCCCCGACCUUAGGAGCCCCAUUACUUGAUCGUUUUUAGCGGCCGAGUUGUGUCUAGAAAAAUGUUUUGAGUCUUUUAGGAAUUAUAUAUCGUAGAGUUUAGGAAUUCUUUUUACUUCCCAGUCUCCUCAUCGCUCUGGUAAGGCAUCCUGAUGUAGAGUUUUGACUCUUCUCUUCUCAAAUUUCACUAAUUUUUUUUAGGAUCACGCGGGUAUCUUAGAAUCGUUUCGAUGGUUUUAUGAUGAGAACAUUGUCUUGGUGCCUCGUGUCAGGGGUUUAGUGGAAGUGUCCCGGGGAGUUGAGCUCUGAGGUGUUGUCAUCAUAAUUUUAUCGUUGCAGUUCUGGAAUACCUGAGUUUAGUACGCCGACAUCAAAAAUCUCUUUUAUGCAGUUCGUUGUGAGAUAACCUCGACGCCACCCAGCACUGGGGCGGGAGUUCGGGAGUAUCGCCAUAACUUGUAUAACGGAUGCUUUUCGAAGGUUGAGGUAGAUGGUUUCUGAAGGUUUCUUGGUUAUGUGUUGAAGGAUGGAUACAGCUGGAUGUAGGAUUUGCUAGUUUGGGUGAGAUAUUAUGCUUCCCCUGUAUCCCCAACACCUGAUUGCAUAACCGGAAAGGUUCGGGAGUUUCAUAGGUGGGAAUUCUAGUAGCUCUAGUUCUUCUUCCACGGAUAUUUGUUUGAGAUUGGGAUUUCUUACCGAUUAUUCGUUCUUGAUCCGUAGCUUGUUGAUUUAUUUCUCUACCUUAAUUCUACGUGGCUUCUCAAUUUAUGGAUAUGUGACCAUUUCAAGAGAAAUGCAUUUGUUCAUUUUGUUCGGAUGUGAAGACUAUAUGUUGCAAUUUUCAUUCCGUUGGAUUCAGCUUCAAUAUUUGUCUGUCUAUGUGCUAAUGGUGGUCAACCUCUUCAGGAUGGCUCCUCCAACGCGCACGACUCCGAAUCCUGAUCCGCCACCACCUCCACCUCCUCCGGAGGCAUGGCAAGCUGUGAUGGCCGCAACCAAUGCAAACACACAGUUGAUCAUGCAAAUUCUUCAAGAGCGCAAUCAAGGCAACCAAGGGAAUCAAGGCAGCAAUCAGAAUCACUUUGCUUCACUCAACCAGUUCCUUAGUAACGGGCCAAAGACUUUCAGCAAUUGUGUGGAGGCAACCGAUGCUGACGAUUGGCUUGUGGAUCUGGGCAAGCAUUUCGAGUGCAGUAACGUCAGGCCUGAGGACUUUGUUAAGUUCGCUUCCUUCCAACUCAAAGAUCAAGCUGCAGAAUGGUUCCAGCAGUACAAGGAUUCCAGAGGUGGACGUGUUAUCACUUGGGAUGAUUUCCGUCGAGAUUUCUGAGCUCAUCAUAUUCCUCAGAGCAUGGUUGAAAGCAAGCGUGAGGAAUUCCGCAAUCUGAAGCAAGGCUCUUUGUCUGUCUAUAACUACAACAAGUUGUUCCAGAAGCUCGCCCGCUUUGCCAAGCAGGACGUCCCUGAUGAGAAGAGCAUGAUAUAUCAGUUCAGGGGUGGUCUCAGAGAAGAAAUUCAGCUAGCUCUUGUUCUCUUCGAGCCCUUGAGAUACGAUGAGUUCUACAACAUGGCACUGAAGCAAGAGGCUGCUCAGUUGAGGUGUGAUGCUUCCAAGAAGCGAGUCAGAGAUGUUACUCCUUCUUCCUCUACUCAAGUGGCCAAGCAGCAGAAGUAUUGGCUUCCUCCUCCUCCGUUCCGUCAACCGUAUCAGCAGAAGAGCAAAGGUGGCAGUGGUUCUUCCCACCCACCCAACCCUGGCUUUCAGAACAAGACUUCGUCUCAAGCUCCAAGAUCGAGUGCUCCGUAUCACCGUCCGCUUUCAGAGGUCACGUGCAACAAGUGCCAACAGAAGGGUCACUACGCCAACAAGUGUUUCAACCAGAGGCGUCUUCCUCCUCCUCCUCCUGUCAGAUCGGCAAGUACAGCUAUGGUCAAGCAUAACCCCAAGCACGCCAAGGUCAACUUGAUGAAUGCAGCCCAGGCAGAGGACUCGUCAGAUGUGAUUAUGGGUAACCUUCCUGUUAACGAUGUUCCUGCAAAAGUUCUUUUUGACACUGGUGCAUCGCAUUGCUUCAUCUCGAAAUCUUUUGUAUCUAAGCAUGAGUUGACUUCCCAAGUUAUGCAUAAACCGUUAGCAGUUGUCUCUCCGGGUAAAUGUUUGCUCGCUAAUCACGAGAUUCCGUAUGUUUCUAUCAUGAUGGGUGAUUUCAAGUUUCUGGCUUCUCCGAUGGUUCUGGGUAACUCGGAUAUUGAUCUUAUCCUCGGGAUUGAUUGGCUUUCUAAGCACAAGGCUCAGCUUGAUUGUGCAGCCAGGCAGAUUCAAUUGACUCAUUCGUCUGAGGAUGUAAUUGUCUUUGCCGCUCAGGAUAAUACCAUCCGUCUGUUUUCUCUCAAUGAGAAGGGUGAACUCGAUGCCAUCUCGCAAAUUCCAGUUGUUUGCGAAUAUCAAGACGUCUUUCUAGAAGAGCUUCCAGGAAUGCCUCCGCACCGGCCAGUUGAAUUCGUUAUUGAUCUUGAGCCUGGCAUGGAACCUGUGUGUAAACGUCCUUACAAGCUCGGACCUGAAGAGUUGAAGGAGCUGAAGAAGCAACUCGAUAUUCAAGAGAAAAUGGGUCUCAUCCGGCCUAGUUCUUCUCCGUGGGGUUGUGGUGUUCUUUUUGUGAAGAAGAAGGAUGGAACGGACCGACUUUGUGUUGAUUACCGUCCAGUGAACAAGAAGACCAUCAAGAACAAAUACCCACUUCCCAACAUCAAUGAGCUGUUCGAACAACUCAAAGGUGCCCAAGUAUUCUCCAAGCUUGAUCUCCGUAUGGGUUAUCAUCAGAUUCGAAUCCCUGAGCAAGAUAUUCUCAAGACGGCUUUCAGGACAAGCUUUGGUUCAUAUGAAUACACUGUCAUGUCUUUUGGUCUCGUCAACGCCCCUCCGACGUUCUCUCGCAUGAUGAACUUCAUCUUCAAUGCCUACACCAAUGACUUCGUUUUGGUCUAUCUCGACGACAUUCUGGUUUUCUCGAAGAACAAGGAAGAUCAUGCCAAGCACUUGCGUUUGGUUCUUGAUAAGCUCAGGGAACAUCAGUUCUACGCCAAGUUCUCCAAGUGUGAAUUUUGGCUCAAUGAGGUUCUUUAUCUUGGUCAUAUCAUCUCUGCCAAGGGCAUUGCCGUGAAUCCUGAGAAGGUGUCUGCAAUUGUGAAUUGGGAACCUCCUCAGAACAUGAAGCAACUCCGCAGUUUUCUCGGUCUCGCAAGCUAUUGCCGAAGAUUCAUUGAAAACUUUUCUAAGAUCGCGAAGCCUCUCUCAAAUCUUCUCCAGAAGCACGUCAAGUACGUUUGGUCUCCGGAGUGUGAUAUUGCUUUCAACACUUUGAAAGAGAAAUUGCUCACUGCUCCAGUUCUGACUCCGCCUGAUGAAUCCAAGCCGUACGAGGUCUUUUGUGAUGCCUCUCUCCAAGGUCUUGGCGCAGUAUUGAUGCAAGAGAAGAAAGUUGUUGCUUAUACUUCUCGCCAGUUGAAGCCUAAUGAGAAGAACUACCCCACUCAUGAUCUCGAGUUGGCGGCAGUUGUGCAUGCUCUUUUGACUUGGAGACAUCUUCUAUUGGGAAGAAAAGUGGACAUUUUCACUGAUCACAAGAGUCUCAAGUACAUCUUUACUCAGCCUAAUCUCAACCUCAGGCAGACUCGAUGGGUCGAAAUGAUUGAAGAGUAUAAUCCGAGUAUUGAGUAUACUCCAGGCAAGGCUAAUGUGAUUGCUGACGCUUUGAGCAGGAAAGCUUACUGCAACAGUCUUAUUCUCAAGCCUUAUCAACCCGAGCUUUGUGAAGCUUUUCGCAAACUUAACCUGCAAGUUGUUCCUCAAGGUUUCCUCGCUAACCUUCUAGUCUCUCCUACCUUGGAAGACCAUAUUCGCCAAGCCCAGCUUCUUGAUGCUAUGGUGAAAAAGGUGAAGAUUGGGAUUGCCAAGAGUCAACCCAAGUACAAGUGCUACCGCCUUGAUGAAAAGGAUACUCUCUUCUUCGAGGAUCGUAUUGUUGUACCCAAAGGUGACCUCCGUAAAGUGAUCAUGAACGAGGCUCACAAUUCUCUCCUCUCCAUCCACCCUGGGAGCACGAAGAUGUAUCAGGACCUUAAGCAAGCUUAUUGGUGGACUCGAAUGAAGCGCGAGAUUGCUCAAUUCGUGAAUGAAUGUGAUGUCUGCAGAAGAGUGAAGGCAGAACACCAAAGGCCAGCAGGUCUCCUCCAACCUCUUGCCAUUCCAGAAUGGAAGUUUGACCACAUUGAAAUGGACUUCGUGACUGGGUUUCCAAAUUCCAAGCGUGGCAAUGAUGCUAUAUUCGUUGUCAUCGACAAACUCAUCAAAGUGGCUCAUUUUCUGCCUAUCAAAGAGUCGAUCACUGCAGCUCAAUUGGCGGAACUCUAUACCUCUCGUAUUGUCUCUCUGCACGGUAUUCCACAAGUGAUCUCUUCAGACCGUGGCAGCAUCUUUAGCUCGAAGUUUUGGGAUUCUUUUCAGAAGGCCAUGGGCACUAACAUCCACUUCAGCACAGCAUUCCAUCCUCAAACUAGCGGUCAAGUCGAGCGUGUCAACCAGAUUCUUGAAGAUAUGCUCAGGGCUUGUGUGAUCUCCUUCGGCAUGAAGUGGGAGGAUUGUCUUCCUUAUGCUGAAUUCUCCUACAACAACAGUUUUCAAGCAAGUUCGGGCAAGGCCCCAUUUGAAAUUCUGUAUGGCAGGAAGUGCCGUACCCCUCUCAACUAGUCCGAAACCGAUGAACGUCAGCUUUUGGGUAAUGACUUAAUCACAGAGGCAGAAGAAAUGUGCAAAGUCAUUCGUGAUAACCUCAAAGCAGCCCAAUCCCGCCAGAAGAGCUACUAUGAUAGUAAGCACUGUGAUUUGGCUUUUGAGAUCGGAGAUCAUGUUUACCUCCACGUCUCUCCUAUGAAAGGUACUCGUCGCUUCGGUAUCAAAGGGAAGCUUGCCCCCAGAUACGUGGGACCUUUCAAGAUUGUCAGCAAGAGAGGCGACCUCGCCUAUCAACUCGAGCUUCCUUCAAACUUUGCAAAUGUUCAUGACGUGUUCCAUGUCUCUCAGCUUUGAAAGUGCUUCAAGACUCCCGACCGCACCGUCAACUUUGAGGACAUUGAGCUCCAAGAAGAUCUCUCUUAUCGUGAGCAUCGAGUUGCUAUUCUCGAAGAGACUGAACGCAAGACUCGCAACAAGUCAAUCAAAUUUCUCAAAGUCAAGUGGUCACACCAUCCCGACCAUGAAGCUACCUGGGAACGCGAGGAUCACCUCCGUUCUGAGUACCCGACGUUCUUUCAGUCCUAGAUCUCGGGACGAGAUCCUUUCGUAGUGGUGGAGUGUUGUAACACCCCGGAUGUAACUUUCCCAAUUUGUACUCCAACUCUUGCCGUUUCCGGUGUUAAGUUAUAUUUAUUUUCUCGGGUUCGGGUUUUUGUCUCCGUGUGUUGUUGUCAUUGUCAUGCAUCUCAUAUCAUGUCAUCAUGUGCAUUUCAUUUGCAUACAUGUUUGUCUCAUGCAUUCGAGCAUUUUCCCCGUUGUCCGUUUUGCAUUCCGGCGCUUCGUUCUCCUCCGGUGGUCAUUUCUAGCUUUCUUUCGUGUGUGAGGAUUAAACAUUUCUGGAUUGGACCGAGACUUGCCAAGCGGCUUUGGUUUACUACCGGUAGACCGCCUGUGAAGUUUCGUACCAUUUGGACUUCGUUUGAUACUUCAACGAUUAACCGAGGGACCGAAAAGGCCUCGUGUGUGUUGCAGACCAACACCCCUCCAAUUUGGCCCAAAACCCACCUAACUCUGCUCCAUCAUCUAGAUCGUUCGAUCACAAUCAUGUGGCCAAAAACCGCACCUCAUUUGGACUCUCCUAGCUCCCUCUAUGCCUAUAAAUAGGUCCCCCUCGAAAUAUCCCGGAUCCCGUCUCCCCGAAACCCUAAAUCCCAGAUCCGCGCCGGCCGGACACGUCCGCCCCGGCCGGNNNNNNNNNNNNNNNNNNNNNNNNNNNNNNNNNNNNNNNNNNNNNNNNNNNNNNNNNNNNNNNNNNNNNNNNNNNNNNNNNNNNNNNNNNNNNNNNNNNNNNNNNNNNNNNNNNNNNNNNNNNNNNNNNNNNNNNNNNNNNNNNNNNNNNNNNNNNNNNNNNNNNNNNNNNNNNNNNNNNNNNNNNNNNNNNNNNNNNNNNNNNNNNNNNNNNNNNNNNNNNNNNNNNNNNNNNNNNNNNNNNNNNNNNNNNNNNNNNNNNNNNNNNNNNNNNNNNNNNNNNNNNNNNNNNNNNNNNNNNNNNNNNNNNNNNNNNNNNNNNNNNNNNNNNNNNNNNNNNNNNNNNNNNNNNNNNNNNNNNNNNNNNNNNNNNNNNNNNNNNNNNNNNNNNNNNNNNNNNNNNNNNNNNNNNNNNNNNNNNNNNNNNNNNNNNNNNNNNNNNNNNNNNNNNNNNNNNNNNNNNNNNNNNNNNNNNNNNNNNNNNNNNNNNNNNNNNNNNNNNNNNNNNNNNNNNNNNNNNNNNNNNNNNNNNNNNNNNNNNNNNNNNNNNNNNNNNNNNNNNNNNNNNNNNNNNNNNNNNNNNNNNNNNNNNNNNNNNNNNNNNNNNNNNNNNNNNNNNNNNNNNGCCGCCCCGCGCCCGUCCUCCUCCGCCACUCGUCGCUGCGGCCGAGCCCGCUCGCCGCCGUUCAAGCCCGGCGCCGGCCGCCCUCGUCCUCACCUUCUCCUCGCCGGCCCGGCCGCCACCGACUCGUCGGUGAACAGUGCUCGCGCCGCCGCCUUGAUUUGCGUGCAGAUCUGGAAACCCUAGGUCGUUUUUUUUCUCUAACUCCCGAAAUUGCAGAUCCAAGUGCCUCUAUUCGUAGCUCCGUAACUUUGCAUCCGUAGCUCUAGGGAUGGCAAUGGGUAGGGUAUGGGCGGGUACAACCUCCUUCUACCCAAAUCCAUACCCAUAGAAACUUUCUAUACCCACCCACUUCAAUACCCAUGGGCAUAAACUGACACCCAUACCCAUACCCAUCGGGUAUCCUAUACCCAAUGGGUAUCCAUUGGAUACAAUAUAUAGCACGUAUGUGGCCUCCUCCAGUGGGUGGCCUCUUGGAGGCAUCAGGGGAGUAUGAGCAGCGGUUGGCGGAAGACCGACGUAGUGGAAGGCGGUGGUGGGAAUUGGGGAUCGCUGGAUCGAGUGUUCAACAAGAGUCUGGUAGCUAAGAGUCGAUAUUUCAUCUUUUGAGGAGUUACAUAGGACGUAUGAGGAGUGGCGAGCAGGUGAUUAUGAGCCUAUGAGCUAUGACUUGUUUAAGGAAUACAAGAUUUAGGGUUGGACCAUAUGAGUUGGAUGUUAACCUCACAUGUUAUAGGAGUUUUUUUUUCUGGGUAUCCAUUGGGUUACCCAUGGGCACAAUUUCUUACCCAUGCCCUACCCAUAUAUUUUGCGGGUAUGGAUACCCAUUACCCGUGGGUAGAAAAUCUCUUCAAGUCUUGCCCAUACCCAUUGUUUUCGGGUAGAGUACCCGUGGGUAGCCAUACCCAUGGGCAAAACUGCCAUCCCUACGUAGCUCCGAUUCAUGCAUAUAGCAUAUCAAAAUGUUCAUUUCAGAGAGUACAUCAUUUCAUUCCAUUGUAUCAUUUUCAUUUGAGCUCAUCUUCAUGCCUGAAAUGUUGUUAGAAGAGGGCUACUUGAGAUAUUUGUCACAUCUACUACUCCGUUUAGGUUUUUGUCAUUUUUGCCAUGAUUAAUGUGUGCAUGAUAUGCCCUGAUGCUCUACAUGUGUUUUGUUAAGGGUUUUGUCAUCUUUCCAGAGGUGCAACCCAUGUAUUUUUGUGAUGUGUGUGGUGACUUGUGCAAGCUUGCAAAGUGGUGCACUUAGUAAUUCUGUUUUCAGGGACUUAGCAAUUCCACAAAGUCCUUGAUCUGUUUAUCUCAUGUUGCCAUAUGUUCAUGUUGUUUCCUAGUGAUCCGUGCCUCUUUUGAGGAUGAUCAGUAAGGAUGUUUUGUUAAUAUUGCAGUGCUCUAUCCAUACAUGUCUUUGUUUGCAAUUAUGGAGCACCCUAGCUUGAGUCAAUCGAGCUCUACUUUUGCUACUUUGUGAAUCUGGGCAGAUUGUCAACUUGUUUGCAAUUUUGCCGAUGAUGUUGUAGUUGAUCCGUGCAUGCUAUGCUAUUGUUCUUGCCAUGUCUAGCUUGCAUUUUGUGCCUUCUUGUUCGGUGUAUGCUUGUCUUGCCAUGACUUGCACCGUAGUGAGUGCAUCGAGCUCGUAAACAUGCCUACUUGAGUUAUAUUUCAGCAUGUGCCAGUUUUCACUAAGUCUGUGAUCUGAUUAUGUUUUUGCUAUGUUCACAUGCUUGCAAUUGUAUUUUCUGAUCCCUUUUGACUCAAGGUCACUAAGGGACUUUUGUUAAGCUCUUUGAGUAGCUCCAUGCCAUACUUUACUUUGCCAUGUUCAGGUCCUGUAGCAUAUAGUUUUGUUGCUCCGAAGAGGGCUAUCUGAUCUGAAAUUCCAGACAAGUGUUAAUUUCACUAAGUCUGAGAUCUGUUUGUCAUAUGCAUUUUUCCAUGCUUGUUUGAACCUGUUAAUGGAUGAAUUGGCCGUAGCUCAGUGCUAGACUUUUGUUAAGCAUCUUGUGUGCAUCCCUGCCAUGUAUUUUGUUGCCAUGUUUGGGUGCUGUAGCAUGUUCAUCUCUUUGCAUUUAGAUGCCUACUUGCUGUAAACCGCAGACCUGUGUCAUAUUUGAAUCGCUUGCCAUUUCCAAACCGUAACUCCGAUCCCGGUGUUCUUUAUAUCGUUUUCAAGCGAUUUCAUCUCAUCUUUCCAGUGGCACACUUGGAAUCCCAAGUUGAGGCCAGGUUCAUGCAUUUCCUGUCAUAUCUUGCAUUUUGCAUCCCGCAUCGUAUCCCGCAUAGCAUAUCAUCAUUGCACCAUGUUGCUUGAUCCUUGCACGUGUUUGAUUGUAUCCUUGUUGCUUGUUUGUCUUGUUUGGGUAAAGCCGGGAGACGAGUUCGCUAACGAGGAGCCCGUUGAGUUUGCUUUCGAGGAUCCAGUCAACUCUGACUACUAUGCAGGCAAGAUGAUCAUACCCUCGAAAUCACUACUAUCUUUGCUAUGCUAGUUUGCUUGCUCUUUUGCUAUGCUAAUGCUACGAUGCCUACCACUUGCUUGCAAGGCUCCCAAAUUGCCAUGUCAAACCUCUAACCCACCAUUGUCCUAGCAAACCGUUGAUUGGCUAUGUUACCGCUUUGCUCAACCCCUCUUAUAGCGUUGUUAGUUGCAGGUGAAGAUUGAAGGCCGUUCCUUGUUGGAACAUCUUUUAUUUACUUGUUGGGAUAUCAUUAUAUUGCUAUGUUAUCUUAAAUGCAUCUAUAUACUUGGUAAAGGGUGGAAGGCUCGGCCUCUCGCCUAGUGUUUUGUUCCACUCUUGCUACCCUAGUUUCCGUCAUAUCGGUGUUAUGUUCCCGGAUUUUGCGUUCCUUACGCGGUUGGGUUAUAAUGGGAACCCCUUGAUAGUUCGUCUUGAUUAAAGCUUUUCUAGCAAUGCCCAACCUUGGUUUUACCAUUUGCCACCUAGCCUUUCUUUCCCUUGGGUUCUGCAGACUCAAGGGUCAUCAUUAUUUUAACCCCCCGGGCCAGUGCUCCUCUGAGUGUUGGUCCAAACCGUCAGCCGCCGAUGGCUACCAGGGGAAACUCUGGGCUGGCCUACCGGAAGUUUGGACAAUCUGAGUGUGCCCUGAGAAAGAGAUAUGUGCAGCUCCUAUCGGGAUUUGUCGGCACAUUCGGGCGGUGUUGCUGGUCUUGUUUUAACCUGUCGAAGUGUCUUGAAUUACCGAGAUACCGAGUCUGAUCAGAACGUCUUGGGAGGAGGUCUAUUCCUUCGUUGACCGUGAGAGCUUGUCAUGGGCUAAGUUGGGACUCCCCUGUAGGGACUGAACUUUCGAAAGCCGUGCCCGCGGUUAUGGGCAGAUGGGAAUUUGAUAAUGUCCGGUUGUAGAUAACUUGAACCUUAACUUAAUUAAAAUGAAUCAACUGAGUGUAUUACCGUGAUGGCCUCUUCUCAGCAGAGUCCGGGAAGUGGACACGGUGUUGGAGUAAUGUUUGCACAGGUUGCUCUCUAGUUUCUCGCUCACGCUUUGCCUCCUCUUCCCGCUCUGUUUUGCGAAUAAGUUAGCCACCAUACUUGCUAGUCGCUUGCUGCAGCUCCACAUAUUUCUACCUUGCCAUACCUAUAAGCUUAAAUAGUCUUGAUCGCGAGGGUGCGAGAUUGCUGAGUCCCUGUGGCUCACAGUUUACUAUUACACCAGAUGCAGGGCCUGAUGAUUCCGCUCCAGGAGACGCGUAUGAGCUCAAGUGGGAGUUCGACGAAGACUCUCGACGUUACUAUGUUUCCUUUCCCGAUGAUCAGUAGUGGGGCCCAGUUGGGGGUGAACGGGACCAUUGUCGCAUGUUGGGUUCUCUUUUAUUUUGGCGCCGUAGUCGGGCCAUGAGUGUUUGGAUGAUGUAAUGUUAUUUAUGUACUUGAUUGACGUGGUGAGUGUAAGCCAACUAUGUUAUCUCCCCUUUAUUAUUAUUAUAUUACAUGGGAUGUUGUGAAGAUUGCCUAACUUGCGACAUAUGCCUUCAAUGCGAUUAUGCCUCUAAGUCGUGCCUCGACACGUGGGAGAUAUAGUCGCAUCGAGGGUGUUACACAUCAAGAUCGUAUCAUCACAAGAACACGAGAUAGAGAGAGAUCAAACACAUAGCUACUGGUACAUACCCUCAGCCCCGAGGGAGAACUACUCCCUCCUCGUCAUGGAGAGCACCGGGAUGAUGAAGAUGGCCACCGGUGAGGGUUCCCCCCUCCGGCAGGGUGCCAGAACAGGGUCCUGAUUGGUUUUUGGUGGCUACGGAGGCUUUUGGCGGCGGAACUCCCGAUCUAUUGUGCGUUCUGGAAGUUUUAGGUCACGUAGGUAUAUAUGGGUGCAGGGAGGACGUCGGAGGAGCCACGGGGGCCCCACGAGACAGGGGGCACGCCCUAGGGGGGCACCCCCCACCCUCGUGAGCACCUCGUGUCUCCCCUGACAUAGGGUCCAAGUCCAUCAGGUGUGUUUCCUUCCAAAAAUAACUUCUCCGGUUGAUUUUGUUCCGUUUCGACUCCGUCUGAUAUUCCUUUUCUUCGAAACACUGAAAUAGGCAUAAAACAACAAAUCUGGGCUGGGCCUCCGGUUAAUAGGUUAGUCCCAAAAGUAAUAUAAAAGUGGAAAAUAAAGCCCAAUAUUGCCCAAAAUAGUAGAUAAUAUAGCAUGGAGCAAUCAAAAAUUAUAGAUACGUUGGAGACGUAUCAGCUGACGAGGUUGUCAAAUCCCUAGCACUGACCACAACACGGCGGUGGCUACCUGCACCACCUUGCCGUUCAUUGUUAUGGAAGUGUGAUGUGAUGAGCUUCUCCUAGCGGCUUAGAGGUGAAGCCAGGGGAGGAAGGGUGGGAUGCAUUGUCAUGCUCGAUCUUGACAUCUUGUAUUGACAGUUUGACACAGUGCUGGGUGACAGUGGGAAGCCUAUUGGAAUCAACUUUUGAUGUUCGAUCCCCUCUACUUCUUUAACAUUGUUCAAAUGAUACACACUAUGCUUAGUAUUUUGUUUCCUAGGAAUAAGGGCUAGAAUAUUUUCGUGCAAAAAGGUUCGCAAUAUAAAUAUAUGGAUGGUGACACUUUAAUUAGUGGCCCGUGCGCUGAUCACCCGGCAAGCGGGGCACCGGCUGGGUUUGCUCAAGCAAACUCUCUUCCUUGUUAACUUUUUGUGUCUCAUGUUUCUUUUGUCUAUCCAGACUUUGAUUUCCAUUAUGGUGUACAUGCCAUGUGUUUGGUGCAAUGCACAAGAGGAAUCAUUGGGCUCAACCGUCUUUAUUUUCUAUGUACGAGGAGCCCAGGAGUACAUCAUGGACUCACUACAGCAGAUGCCAUUAACCUCCGUAGUCCAUUGCUGUAACUGAUGUUCAUAUCAAUUUACCAUAUGGAAGAUUAAAUUUUCACUCCGCAUCAAGAUCUUUAUGUGGUUCGUCCACAAAGAAGUCAUCUUGAUCAAAGAUAAUUUGAUGAAAAGGAAUUGGGUUGGUAACCCCAGGUGCUAUUUUUGUGAUCAAAAUGAAACGAUUAAACACCUUUUUCUCGAGUGUCCACUUGCAAAAUUGUUAUGACAAUCUAUCCAUAUAGCUUUUAACAUCCAACCUCCAAUGAGCAUAAACACAUUAUUGGGAAAGUGGCUUAAUGGAGUAGACAUAUGUAACACCCACGAUGCGGCUAUAUCUCCCACGUGUCGGAGCACGACUUAGAGGCAUAACCGCAUAGUUGGCAUGUCGCAAGAGGGGUAAUCUUUACACAUCCCAUGUACUGAAUAAGAGAGGGAUAAAGAGCUGGCUUACAAUCGCCACUUCACACAAUACAUAAAUAUAGCAUUACAUCAUCCAGACACAAUCAUGGUCCGACUACAGAACCAAAUAAAGAAAAACAACAACCCCUAAUGCAUAGAUCCCCGAUCGCCCCGACUGAGCUCCUCUAUUGAUCAACUGGAAACGAAAACAACACAAUGAACACGAUGUUCAUCGAGCUCCCACUUGAGCUGGGUUGCGUCACCUGCACUGGUAUCAUCGGCACCUGCAACUGUUUUGGAAGUAAUCUGUGAGUCAUGGGGACUCAGCAAUCUCACACCCGCGAGAUCAAGACUAUUUUAGCUUAUGGGUAGGAAAAGGGUAGUGAGGUGGAGCUGUAGCAAGCACUAGCAUGUAUGGUGGCUAACUUACGCAAAUAAGAGUGAGAAGAGAAGCAAAGCGCGGUCGUGAACUAGAAGUGAUCAAGAAGUGAUCCUGAAACUACUUACGUUCAAACAUAACUCCAAAACCGUGUUCACUUCCCGAACUUCGCCGGAAAGAGACCAUCACGGCUACACACGUGAUUGAUGCAUUUUAGUUAAAGUUAAGUGGCAAGUUUUCUACAACCGGACAUUAACAAAUUCCCAUCUGUCCAUAAUCGCGGGCACGGCUUUCGAAAUUUCAAACCCUGCAGGGGGUGUCCCAACCUAGCCCAUCACAAGCUCUCAUGGUCAACGAAGGAUAUUCCUUCUCCCAGGAAGACCUGAUCAGGCUCAGAAUCCCGGUUACAAGACAUUUCGACAAUGGUAAAACAAGACCAGCAAGACCGCCAGAUGCGCCGACAUCCCGAUAGGAGCUGCACAUAUCUCGUUCUCAGGGCAACACCGGAUUGUCCAAACUUCCAGUAGGCCAGCCCAGAGUUGCCCCUGAUGGCCACCGGCGGCUGACAGUUUCGGACCAACACUUAGACAAGCACUGGCUCGAGGGAGUUAAAAUAAAGAUGACCCUCGAGAGUGUGACUCCCAAGGGAAAAGUAGGUGGUGGGGAGGCAAAUGGUAAAACCACGGUUGGGCCUUGCUGGAGGAGUUUUAUUCAAAGCAAACUGUCAAGGGGUCCCCAUAACACCCAACCGUGUAAGGAACGCAAAAUCAAGGAACAUAACACCAGUAUGACGGAAACUAGGGCGGCAAGAGUGGAACAAAACACCAGGCAUAAGGCCGAGCCUUCCACCGUUUACCAAGUAUAUAGAUGCAUUAAUUAACAUAAAAGAUAUUGUGAUAUCCCAAUAUAACCAUGUUCCAACAUGGAACAAACUUCAAUCUUCACCUGCAACUAGCAAUGCUAUAAGAGGGGCUGAGCAAAGCGGUAACAUAGCCAAACAACGGUUUGCUAGGACAAGGUGGGUUAGAGGCUGAACAUGGCAAUAUGGGAGGCAUGAUAAAGCAUGUCGUAGGUAUCGCGGCAUAGCAAUAGAGCGAGCAACUAGCAAGCAAAGAUAGAAGUGAUUUCGAGGGUAUGGUCAUCUUGCCUGAGACCUCGGAAGGAAGAAGAACGAGUCCAUGAAGAAGACAAACGGACGUAGACGAACGGAUCCUCACAAACGCGACGUUAUCGGAACCAACCCGAAGAAGCAACACCGGAAAUAAGCAAACCACAUAGUAAACAAUCAACACAUCAACAUGGCAUGAUGCACAAUCGAGUAUGAUGCAUGUCCGGUUUAAAUAUGCGUGGCAUGGCAAAGUGCACAAACAAUCCUACAAAUUAAGUGGAGCUCAAUAUGCAACUCCGUUGCAUAGUCACGAAACACCACGUGACUUAUUUAGUUCUCUCUCAUUUAAGUGCCCAACAAUAUUAAAUGUUGAUUAACAUGGCAAGAGGUGAAGCAAAUGAAAACUACCUAUCUAGGCAAGUUUAAAAUGAGGCCGGAACAACAAACAACAAGUCCGGAAAAUCCUCAUGUGCAUAUUGUAAAAUUGGUACUGUUCUGCCCUAAACCAUAUUUUAGAGUUGUAAAACAUGCAACAAGAGUGCACCAUGUUAAACUAGGCAUUUUUCUACCCCAUUUACAUAUAAAGUUCAUUAAAUUUGGAGCUACGGUUAUUUAGUUAUGAAUUAAAUCAUUUUAACAUGGCAAUAGGCAAAUUAUAAGCAAACAUCAUUUUAAACAUGCCAAACAUGAUUGAAAGUUGGAUAUUAUGAAACUAGAUGAAAUUCUAGUCAAGUUUCAUAUAUAAAGUUUUUACAUAUGACGCAUUAUUCAUGAGUUAUUAUAUGCAUGGAGACUAGGGGUUUUUCUAUAAAACCGUAAACUCUGGAAUAAAUAGGAAAAUCAUAGAGCCUAAAAAAGACUUUGGGCCGAAUCUGGCCGGCCCAAAGUGCACAGGGGGGGUUCUUACCCAGUGGGCCUGGCCCAGAUCGGUGGUGAGGGAGGUUUGUUUGGAAGGGGGGCGGUGCUGGGCCUGUCAAGGCUGGUUGGUGGACCUCGCGCGAGACACGGCCCAGGCGCGGGUCUUCUGCGGUCAAUGCGACAACGAGGGAGCGCUCGUCCUCGACUGAAACGAAGCAGUCGCAGCUGGGGAGCGAGGUUCAGAGCGGUAGCAGCGGCUGAAACGAGCGGGUCCAGGGGCUGAAUGCCGUUCUUCGGCGAGGUUCUAGGCGGCGGCAAGAGUCACCGGAUCUGGGCGGUGGAGGUCGGGGACGGCCUGUUCUGGCUGGAGACGAGGCCAUGGGCGGCGCUGGCAGUUCCUGUCGGCGGCAAAAGAUCAGGCCACAUGUAGCAGGAGGGGAAGCAAGAAGAAACAGUGGGAGUGGGAGAAGAGGAGCGACGGGGAGGUCCUGGCCUGUUGACGGCGGGGCUGCGGCUCGCUCUGGGUGAGCGACUGGUCGGCGGCUCGGCUGCAGAGGCACGGGGGAACGAUCCAGGAGGUGGGAAGCGGAGGCCGAUGGAUGACAGGGAAUGGCCGUCAGCGACGAACCCCAAGGGCGCUGGCGCGAUUUGGUCGAAGCCGAUCAUGGGGUCUCGUUCCUGGCGUCUUGCGGGAGUUCCUGUUGAAGAAGAAAAACAUAGAGGAAUGAGAGAGAUCGAGAGGAACGACGAAGCACCGGGAAGGAGAAGAAGAAGGGAGGUGGCGGUGCUCAUCUCAGAUGAAGCUCAUCGGCGGCGAUGCGAGGUGUAGGAGGCAGGUGAGCUCUGCUGGUCCUCGGGGAGAACAAGCGGAGGGGCGGGAGUCUGGCUCCAUGGAGGUGCUCGAAGCAGGGGAUCCAGGGGCGCAGUCCAAUUGGAGCUCGAGGGAGGCAGUGGACCGAUGGAUUGGCUGUUGACUGAAAUCGAGGGGAGGUGGUGGAUCGGGAGGGAUCCCGAGAAAGAGUGUGGCGACGGCGCUAGGGUAGGAUCCCUAGAAAUUAGGUGUGUUGUCUAGAUAUAUAUAGUAGGUAGGUGAAAGGAGAGGGAUUUGGAUCAUCAGAUCGAAAUCCGAUGGGCGAGAAUAAAUAUGCUAAAGAGUCCAAUAAAUAAAACGAUGAUAUUUUGUAGAUGUUUGGGGAUGUUCCGGACCCGGUGGUGAUGACUAUCCGGGCCGGGUUCGGGACAGUUUUCGGACGCGCACACGAGGGUGUCGAAGCACUGUGCAAGGAGGGGUAGGCUGGCCUAGGUGGACUGUGAAGAAGAGGUUUGGGCUGAGAUGAGAGGGAAUGAGUGCAGCCGGGCAACUGUUUCCGAAGACCGAAAACGUCCGACGAAAAGACCGGCUACUAUUGCCGCUAUAUUUAUCCGUUGGGGCAUCUAACGAACUCCGAAUGCGAUGAAACUUGGCAGGCGGCCUAGUGACCACAUAACAACACCGCAUGCCAACUUUAAACCCAUUUCGAGAACAUUUUCCGGACACUUAUAAAAUACUAUUUCGGACGUGCCGCGGGCGCGUGCAAGUGUGUCUGGGCUCAGAACGGACAACAGACGGAACUGGGGGAACCCGGACGGAUGCAAGAUUUCAAAAACAUGCAGAUGCAAUGCGGAUGAUGACAUGGAAAGAUGCAACACGCAAGCGAAUGACAUGGCAACGGCGGCGAAUAACUGGAAGACACCUGGCGCAACGGUCUCGGGGCGUCACAACACUCCACCACUACGAGAGGAUCUCGUCCCGAGAUCUAGGAUGGCACCGGAGGGAAAUGUAAGAGGAAGAGAAGAGGUAAAACUAAUUGCUUCUUUGACAAAUGGGUGAAACCAAAGAACCUUGUGAGGCUGAACAAAUUGAAAAAUAAUACAAAGAAGAUGAACGAAGUGGAAAACACUUCGUUAGGAAAGAGGAACAAGGAACAUCAUGAGAACCCUGUAGGUUGAAAGACAUAAGAAAAGGGGUACAAUGGACAAGGAGUACAUGCAAACACUCCGGUAGAGACGAGAUGUAUAAGGAACAAUAAGGAUCAAUUACGACAACACUCCGGUUAAAACAAGAUAGAGAAGGGAAAAGAAUAUAUAAUUUGGAUAGCACUCCGACUAUAAUUGAAAGGAAUUGAAGAUGAGCUUGACAAGAUGAGAAGAUACUUGAUGAAAUCAACAACACACUGCCUCCGGAACUAUUGAAAGAAAGGCACAAAGGGUAAGAAAGAUUCCAGACAGCACUCCAGUUGAGAAAGGAGGUAAAACUUGAUAAGAUGAGAGAACUCGAAUGAAAACAUGACACUCCGGUUGAAUGGAUAAGCAAAGGAAAGAACAUGAUCUUCACAGUACGCGAUGGUGAGUGAAGAUAGCAUCAUCACAAUGCCUCCGGAAGAAAUGAAAGAAUGCAACGAAAAGAACAGAGAAGAAAACAACAUGUUCUACCUCAAAUGAAUUUGAGAUAGCAUCCUUAAAAAGAAGGAUUGAACGGAGUUGUUGGGAAAUCAACAACGAAAAGAACAGGCUUGUUGAGGGCUUAUGGAGAACAUCUCAAAACUAUGAGGUAAAAUUCUGCCACUAACGAAAAACAAUAGAUUGGAUUGAUAUGAACUAGGAGAUGAGAAACUUAUUUCACCGGGAGGAUAAAUGAAGAACUUAGGUCAUUUAUAAGCACCAUAAAUAGCAACAAUCCUUAGGGCAAGCUUUAGGUGAAAUAUAACCCAAGAUAACUCCAACGAAGAGAUUGAUGGGUUGCAAAGGAUCUCAUGAACGAAUUGAAAAUGAUGGGUUUAAAAUAUGUCAUUCGGGACAACUUUUGAAUCAUGAAACACAAAGCAAUUCUCAAAAAUGACAUAACACCACCUCAAAAGAUAAGGUAGAACGAAUUGCACUUCGAAAUGCAAGAUGAAGAAUGCUUGAAGUAUAGCUUGGCGGAUCAUAGCUUCGAGAGAACUCUUGAUGAACAAUUGAAGAAUGAAAAACAAACCUUGACGAACCACCAUGUAGAACCUCCGUGAAGAACUCCGGUAAUAAAAGAAUGAUCCAAAAUAAUUGAAGGAUGAAAAGAAUAAGAUUGAAGCCUUGCAAUGAUUUAGAUGGAUCUUCGUGACGAUAUAAAGCAGAAAACUUGGAAAUCCGGAAAAGAAAAGAUGAAUCAAUUGCAACAGAGAAUUUGAUGAACCUCCGGAAUAAAGAAUUGAAUUUACUCGAUGAAACAAGAAUAAGAAUUAUAUUAUGCUUAUCCUUCACCAAUUUAAAUUGAUGACAAGCAAUGGGCUUGGCAUACUACUUAUUCUUCUUGAAAAGAUUGAAGAGAGAUAUAGUGCAAACUUGAGAAGGUCUUGAAUGAACCACCUGUAUGAUUGAAACAACAAAUAAAUUGAUAUGAUAAGAAGGAAGAAAAAUCUUGAACGAACCACCGUAUGAAUUGAAAAUGAAAGUAGCAAAGGCACAAAUCACCGGGUAGAAUUGGAAAACGAAUGAAGAUACUUGAGAGAAUUUAGAUACAAGUGAAUGAAGAGAUCACGAGCUGAUUACAGAAUAAUUGAAUGAUGCAUCGGUAAGAUUUGGAGAACGAGAGCUGAAGGCUGGAAUGAAUAAUUCUGAUUUGAUGGGCUCCGGAGAAUCAAACUGAAAAGACUUCUGAAUAGCUCUGGAAGGGUGAAAAGAAUUCUCACAAUCAAAACAAUUAUGAGAGGAUGGCAUGAAGCUAGAACCAAGAAUCUUCGAGAGAACAGACCAAGAUUUGAGAGAAACUCUUCUUCGGUCUUCAAUAUCCGAGAAUGACAACGAGAAACAACACCAUGAAUUGUUGAGGCACUCUGGAAUAAUGAAAAGCGAAGAGGUUGAGCCAACAAUGAAAAGAAUAUGAAAGAUCUUGGAGAAAGACAUAUGACUGAUGAUAAUUCAUUCUUACGUCAAACUUCAAAAAGAAAUUUGAAGAUAGCUCUGGGAAAAUAGAAGAGUCAGGUAAGAUCUUGGGAAAAGACCUGUGUGUUAGGGCCCACUCAAAAGAUACACCGUUGAAAAGAUUGCUUGAAAAAAAUAGAUUGCACCUGUUGAAUUAAAUGGCUUGAAUGAGAUAACAUCCUCAAAAGAGCUUGAACGAAUGCAGGGUGGAAACAUGAAUCUUUGAGAUAUCAUCAGCACUCCGGAACAAUUGAAUAGCGAGAAGUGGAUAAUUGAGAGGUGCACCGACAUGAGAAAGCAUUUGAAAUGAGGAAAAGAUAUGAUCAACACCGAAAGCUUGAUUUGAAUCCACCGGAGAAGAUAAAAGAAACGAAGAAUGAUGAACUUGUAGAGCAUCUUCAUGAGAACCACCGGGUAAGAACAUUGAUUGAAAAAGGAUGAAGAGACUUCACAUCAAUAAAAGGAUACUUGAUUAAGAACUCCGAGUCCUUGAAGAAAAAGGGUUGGGUGGGCGGGAAAACAAAAGCAACUUGGGGAUAGAUGAAACGAACAACAUUGGGAAAAACCGAGAGGUGAUCUUGUGAAUGUUGAAAAAUGAUAGGAUCAGUUGAAGAGGAGCACACCGGUUGAAAAGGAUUGACAUGACAAUCUCGAUUAUCAUGAAGGAUCAGUAUUCACACAGAAAGAUGAGAACACCUCUUAGGCAAGGUAUGGAAUCAACAUUUGACUUCGAUGCAACUCGAAUACCACAAUUGAAAACAAAAACAAAGAAUUGGCUUGCAAAAUAAGCCGGACAAACAUAUGAUAGAGAUUUCGUCCGAAAUUGUCGUGGUGGGGCCCGCACGGGCUCGAUCGUACAUCACCAUCAUGUACAAGGUAGUGCACAUGACAUACGAAGCGUCCCCGAGUCAGCAUAGCCAAGGACUCUUUAAGACACAACGAGACCAAUGUAAAACCAACCGUGGACGGGCGGAGCACUAGACUUCGAAACCCAAUCUCAUAUCAUGCAUCUGUCGGAAAGAUAUCCUAGGCGCUACUUGAAUUCCCACUUAUAAACUCCCGAAACUUUCUGGUUAUGCAAUCAGGUGUUGAGGUUACAGGGGAAGCAUAAUAUCUCACCCAAAACUAGCAAUCCUACAUCCAGCUGUAUCCAUCCUUCAACACAUAACCAAGAAACCUUCGGAAAUCAUUUACCUCAACCUUCGAAAAGCAUCCGUUAUAUGAGUUAUGGCAAUACUCCCGAACUCCCACCCCAGUACCGGGUGGCGUUGAGGUUAUCUCACCAACAACUGCGUAAAAGAGAUUUUCGAUGUCGGCGAACUCAGGUAUUCCAGAACUGCAAUGAUAAAAUUGUAACGACAACACCUCAGAGCUCAACUCCCCGGGACACCGCCACAACCCCUAAAUGUCAGGAGGCACCAAGAACAAUGUUCUCGUCACAAAACCAUCAGAACGAUUCCUAGAUACCCGCGUGAUCCUAAAAAAAUUAGUGAAAUUUGAGGAGAGAAGAGUCAAAACUUCUACGUCAGGAGGCCUCACCAGAGCGACGAAGGGACUGAGGAGUAAAAAGAAUCCUACUCUCCGAUAUAUAUAAUCCUAAGACUCGAAACAUUUUUUCUAGACUCAACAACGCCUGCGAUUCGAUCAAGCAGGGGGCUCCUAAGUCUGGGAAGGCUCUGAUUACCAACUUGUAACACCCAUGAUGCGGCUAUAUCUCCCACAUGUCAGAGCAUGACUUAGAGGCAUAACCGCAUAGUAGGCAUGUCGCAAGAGGGGUAAUCUUUACACAUCCCAUGUACUGAAUAAGAGAGGGAUAAAGAGCUGGCUUACAAUCGCCACUUCACACAAUACAUAAAUAUAGCAUUACAUCAUCCAGAUACAAUCACGGUCCGACUACGGAACCAAAUAAAGAAAAAAACAACCCCUAAUGCAUAGAUCCCCGGUCACCCCGACUGGGCUCCUCUACUGAUCAACUAGAAAUGAAAACAACACAAUGAACACGAUCUUCAUCGAGCUCCCACUUGAGCUGGGUUGCGUCACCUGCACUGGUAUCAUCGGCACCUGCAACUGUUUUGGAAGUAAUCUGUGAGUCACGGGGACUCAUCAAUCUCACACCCGCGAGAUCAAGACUAUUUAAGCUUAUGGGUAGGAAAAGGGUAGUGAGGUGGAGCUGCAGCAAUCACUAGCAUGUAUGGUGGCUAACUUACGCAAAUAAGAGCGAGAAGAGAAGCAAAGCGCGGUCGUGAACUAGAAGUGAUCAAGAAGUGAUCCUGAAACUACUUACAUUCAAACAUAACUCCAAAACCGUGUUCACUUCCCGAACUUCGCCGGAAAGAGACCAUCACGGCUACACACGUGAUUGAUGCAUUUUAGUUAAAGUUAAGUGGCAAGUUUUCUACAACCGGACAUUAACAAAUUCCCAUCUGUCCAUAAUCGCGGGCACGGCUUUCGAAAUUUCAAACCCUGCAGGGGGUGUCCCAACUUAGCCCAUCACAAGCUCUCACGGUCAACGAAGGAUAUUCCUUCUCCCAGGAAGACCUGAUCAGGCUCAGAAUCCCGGUUACAAGACAUUUCAACAAUGGUAAAACAAGACCAGCAAGACCGCCAGAUGCGGCGACAUCCCGAUAGGAGCUGGACAUAUCUCAUUCUCAGGGCAACACUGGAUUGUCCAAACUUCUGGUAGGCCAGCCUAGAGUUGCCCCUGGUGGCCAUCGGCGGCUGACAGGUUCAGACCAACACUUAGACAAGCACUGGCCCAGGGGGGUUAAAAUAAAGAUGAUCCUCGAGAGCGCGAAUCCCAAGGGAAAAGUAGGUGGUGGUGAGGCAAAUGGUAAAACCAAGGUUGGGCCUUGUUGAGGGAGUUUUAUUCAAAGCCAACUGUCAAGGGGUCCCCAUAACACCCAACCGUCUAAGGAACGCAAAAUCAAGAAACAUAACACCAGUAUGACGGAAACUAGGGCGGCAAGAGUGGAACAAAACACCAGGCAUAAGGCCGAGCCUUCCACCCUUUACCAGGUAUAUAGAUGCAUUAAUUAACAUAAAAGAUAUUGUGAUAUCCCAACAUAACCAUGUUCCAACAUGGAACAAACUUCAAUCUGCACCUGCAACUAGCAACGCUAUAAGAGGGGCCGAGCAAAGCGAUAAUAUAGCCAAACAACGGUUUGCUAGGACAAGGUGGGUUAGAGGCUGAACAUGGCAAUAUGGGAGGCAUGAUAAAGCAUGUGGUAGGUAUCGCAACAUAGCAAUAGAGCGAGCAACUAGCAAGCAAAGAUAGAAGUGAUUUCGAGGGUAUGGUCAUCUUGCCCGAGAUCCCGCAAGGAAGAAGAACGAGUCCAUGAAGAAGAAAAAUGGACGUAGACGAACGGAUCCUCACAAACGCGACGUUAUCGGAACCAACACAAAGAAGCAACACCGGAAAUAAGAAAACCACAUAGUAAACAAUCAACACAUCAACAUGGCAUGAUGCACAAUCGAGUAUGAUGCAUGUCCGGUUUAAAUAUGCAUGGCAUGGCAAAGUGCACAAACAAUCCUACAAAUUAAGUGGAGCUCAAUAUGCAACUCCGUUGCAUAGUCACGAAACACCACGUGACUUAUUUAGUUCUCUCUCAUUUAAGUGCCCAACAAUAUUAAAUGUUGAUUAACAUGGCAAGAGGUGAAGCAAAUGAGAACUACCUAUCUAGGCAAGUUUAAAAUGAGGCCGGAACAACAAACAACAAGUCCGGAAAAUCCUCAUGUGCAUAUUGUAAAAUUGGUACUGUUCUGCCCUAAACCAUAUUUUAGAGUUGUAAAACAUGCAACAAGAGUGCACCAUAUUGAACUAGGCAUUUUUCUACCCCAUUUACAUAUAAAGUUUAUUAAAUUUGGAGCUACGGUUAUUUAGUUAUGAAUUAAAUCAUUUUAACAUGGCAAUAGGCAAAUUAUAAGCAAACAUCAUUUUAAACAUGCCAAACAUGAUUGAAAGUUGGAUAUUAUGAAACUAGAUGAAAUUCUAGUCAAGUUUCAUAUAUAAAGUUUUUACAUAUGACGCAUUAUUCAUAAGUUAUUAUAUGCAUGGAGACUAGGGGUUUUUCUGUAAAACCGUAAACUCUGGAAUAAAUAGGAAAAUCAUAGAGCCUAAAAAAGACUCUGGGUCGAAUCUGGCCGGCCCAAAGUGGACAGGGGGGGUUCUUACCCAGUGGGCCUGGCCCAGAUCGGUGGUGAGGGAGGUUUGUUUGGAAGGGAGGCGGUGCUGGGCCUGUCAAGGCUGGUUGGUGGACCUCGCGCGAGACACGGCCCAGGCGCGGGUCUUCUGCGGUCAAUGCGACAACGAGGGAGCGCUUGUCCUCGACUGAAACGAAGCAGUCGCAGCUGGGGAGCGAGGUUUAGAGCGGUAGCAGCAGCUGAAACGAGCGGGUCCAGGGGCUGAAUGCCGUUCUUCGGCGAGGUUCUAGGCGGCGGCAAGAGUCACCGGAUCCGGGCGGUGGAGGUCGGGGACGGCCUGUUCUGGCUGGAGACGAGGCCAUGGGCGGCGCUGGCAGUUCCUGUCGGCGGCAAAAGAUCAGGCCACAUGUAGCAGCAGGGGAAGCAAGAAGAAACAGUGGGAGUGGGAGAAGGGGAGCGACGGGGAGGUCCUGGCCUGUUGACGGCGGGGCUGUGGCUCGCUCUGGGUGAGCGGCUGGUCGGCGGCUCGGCUGCAGAGGCACGGGGGAACGAUCCAGGAGGUGGGAAGCGGAGGCCGAUGGAUGACAGGGGAUGGCUGUCAGCAACGAACCCCAAGGGCGCUCGCGCGAUUUGGUCGAAGCCGAUCAUGCAGGAGUUCCCGUUGAAGAAGAAAAACAGAGAAGGAUGAGAGAGAUCAAGAGGAACAAUGAAGCACCGGGAAGGAGAAGAAGAAGGGAGGCAGCGGUGCUCAUCUCAGAUGAAGCUCGUCGGCGGCGAUGCGAGGUGUAGGAGGCGGGUGAGCUCUGCUGGUCCUCGGGGAGAACAAGCAGAUGCGCGGGAGUCUGGCUCCAUGGAGGUGCUUGAAGCAAGGGAUCCAGGGGCGCAGUCCCGUUGGAGCUCGAGGGAGGUAGUGGAUUGAUGGAUUAGCUGUUGACUGAAAUCGAGGGGAGGUGGUGGAUCGGGAGGGAUCCCCAGAAAGAGUGUGGCGGCGGCGCUAGGGUAGGAUCCCUAGAAAUUAGGUGGGUUGUCUAGAUAUAUAUAGUAGGUAGGUGAAAGGAGAGGGAUUUGGAUCAUCGGAUCGAAAUCCGAUGGACGAGAAUAAAUAUGCUAAAGAGUCCAAUAAAUAAAACGAUGAUAUUUUGUAGAUGUUUGGGGAUGUUCCGGACCCAACGGUGAUGACUAUCCGGGUCGGGUUCGGGACAGUUUUCGGACACGCACACGAGGAUGUCGAAGCACUGUGCAAGGAGGGGUAGGCUGGCCUAGGUGGACUGUGAAGAAGAGGUUUGGGCUGAGAUGAGAGGGAAUGAGUGCAGCCCGGCAACUGUUUCCCGAGACCGAAAACGUCCAACGAAAAGACCAACUACUAUUGCCGCUAUAUUUAUCCGUUGGGGCGUCUAACGAACUCCAAAUGCGAUUAAACUUGGCAGGCAGCCUACUGACAACAUAACAACACCGCAUGCCAACUUUCAACCCAUUUCGAGAACAUUUUCCAGCCACUUAUAAAAUACUAUUUCGGACGUGCCACGGGCGCGUGCAAGUGUGUCUGGGCUCAGAACGGACAACGGACGGAACUGGGGGAACCCGGGCGGAUGCAAGUUUUCAAAAACAUGCAGAUGCAAUGCGGAUGAUGACAUGGCAAGAUGAAACACGCAAGCGAAUGACAUGGCAACGAUGGCAAAUAACUGGAAGACACCUGGCGCAACGGUCUCGAGGCGUCACAACAUACACAUAGCUAAACAUAUUCGGAUAGGGAUAUGUGCUUUAUUAUGGGCUAUAUGGAACACUAGGAAUGAUAUGAUUUUUAAUGGUAAAACAUUCACCAUUUUUUUGCAGUUUAUCUACAGAGCUACAACGUGAAUUUGUAUGUGGUCGUUACUCACUCAUGCGGACUACAAGGGGUCUAUGGUUAUUGGGUGCAACCGUAGGGAGACGGUAGCACGGGCUAUCUUCGGCAGAUUUGGAUGGCGAGUUAAUAAUAGGCUAGGUGUGUAGCAUGUUCUUUAUUGUCGGAUGUGGCACUUUAUUGUCGGAUUUUGAGCUUCCUUGGAUGUUAAGACUCUGUUUCAAUUUCUACAUGCAUCGACUGACGUAGAGGCCGGAGGUAUUCCUCCUUUUCAAAAUAAAAAUAAAAAUUAUGUUAGAGGUAAAAAUUUGUUGGCUCAAGAGGCAUCAGAGUUAUUCACUUCUUAGCAUUUGGACCAUUUAAUUAAGGAAUAUAUGAGAGUUUGAAUUAAGAAAUGGAGGAUUUGAUUACCUUGCAAAAGUCACUAUCAAGAUUAGUUUCACUAAUCGUAUUUUUGUUCAGAGUGAAGGUAUACUAUCCAAAGAUGCUUUAAAGCUUAGUUUAUUAAACAUCUUUUUUAUUCAGAAUGAAGGUCCACUACAGUUAUAAUAACUCGCUCCUUGUUUAUGCAUUCCAAUUUAAUAUAGUAUAGUUUAGCUGAAAAAUGUUAUAGUAAGACAAAGUCAUUACUUCAGCCAAGGUUAAGACUGGCAACUUAGUAAUGAAAAGUCUUACGAAUUAUCACAUAUUUAUUAGGACUAUUUGUGGAUUGUUGUUUUUUAUUAACAACCAUCAUAUAUGUGUGUUUUUGUGGAUUGUUGUCAUCUGUUGCAGGUUGCGAACAAUGUAAUUAUCAUUAUUGGUUACCACUUAUGGAAAUGGGUGACGACUCAGUAGAAGCUUUUUUUUCUUUGGAAGCAACGGGCUACCAUAAGUUUUAUUCCAUUAUGUGAGAUGAUCAAACAAAUUUCAGAAACCUAUGUGGAGAUAAUAAAUAGUAGAACUGCUACACAAUUAGACAAAAAAAUCAGGAAAAAUAAGCCAUCUAGGCUCAUAUCAUGUUUCGCCUCACAAAUCCAGAGUACAUUGAAAUGAGAAACUCUUAUUUUUCCUUUUUUAUGCUAGCAGCUUAAGUCUACUUAUUUUCCUUAUAACUCAUUUUUUAUCUGACCCAAACAACACUAGUUUAUCAGGAAAUCACUGAUCACUUAUCUGUUAUUAUCAGUUAUGAGUUGUUCUCCUCUUGCCUAUUGUUGGGGAUAUAACUAUUGGGUAUGAACCGCCCAGGAGGGGCCGGGUUAUAUCAACUAGUGGUUUACUAACGAAGAUGGCGGAUCAUACAAGCCUGGUGAAGGCCCAAGGCCUAGAGGUGACUUACAGCCCAGGUGUAUGUAUAACUUGUGUUCUAAGGCAGUCGUAAUUAGUCACUGAGCCGGACACUUUGUGUAUAAGACGGCCGGGACUCCGUGAGCCAUCGGGCGUCAACCUGUGUAUAUAAAGGGACGACCCGGCAGCGGUUUAGGACAAGAAACAAGAGAUCAAGAACUAGGUCAAGCGUAUUCGCUCCCUGGUAAUCAAAACCCUAGCAAUACAAUCCCAAACUGGAGUAGGCCUUUACCUUCAUCGUAAGGGGCCGAACCAGUAUAAACUCUCUGUGUCGUUUGUCCCAUUUAACCCCUUUAAACUAACCUAGCUGCGAUGGCCCUGCGACUAAGUCCUUCCGCUAGGACAUCAGCCGUGACAAUUCCACGACAGCUGGCGCCCACCAUGGGGCUAGCGCAUGUUGGAUUCAAGUUCUUAAAGGGCAACUUCGAAGGCAUCAAAGGAUACACUAUGGUCCGGAUGACCAAGAGUCGUCGCGGCAAGCUCUACAUCGACGCUGCGGGAUGGGGCCCUGAGGCCGGCUCAAUAGAGUACGGGUAUCAGGCCCCCUUCGGUGGAAUCCACGUCUUCAUCAGCAAGAUCGGUGAACCGGGCCCUGAGCCGGACAUCUGCACCUACAUCAUCGAGACGGCUCAGCGUGCACGACCCGCCCAGGUUCAACCCGCCAUGAAGCGUGCCUUUGUUGGUUUCAUCCAUGGGACGGUAAUUGGAGAAGGAUCCGUGUCUGGCGGUGAGAUGGCCAUCUAUUCGGAUGGUGAGUCAUCCACAGGCGAGACUAAUUCAUUGUAAACUAAUUCAUUGUAUCAACUGCAAGACGGCCGGCUUGGGGGCUGUUCCGAUGGUGACAGUAUUCCGGACCCCUACGAGCCACCGAAUAGCAUCGCAAUCUUCAUGGUUGGUACACAACCGGUGUUUGGUUCAACAACCGCCGCGGCCAUGACCUCCAGUUCAAUGGCUGCAGCAGCGGCUGGUAUUGGCGGUUCUGCACGCCCGUCGGCUCAAAUUCUCAUGGAGUUAUUGGAAGCUCUAGCGACUCUGAUGGGGGUGGAGCUAACCCCAAACAACCAGGAACAACACAAGGUGGAUCUGGCAAAAUUGCAAGAUGAGAUAGCUGAAGCCAAGGGAGAGCUAGUGGCUGAGAACACGAGGAUGACUACAGAGUGGGCGGCUUUGGAUGCCCAGGCACAACGGAUUCAAGAAGAUUCCUUCCGGCUUAUGUUAGAUCAGAACGCUUCAAAUGAGGUCAUGAGGAGGAGGCACCGGAGUCAUCUACCCCCAGUUUAUGAGCCGAGGAACCUCUUCAACACGCCUGGAGCAUGGACUAGUGACACGCCGUUGGUGAACCGGGUGGUCGAAGCACCUGGGACUGGAGCGCCGGUUCAGCCACGGGCAAUGGGCUCGACGCGUUUGAAUAGUAUUCUGCCUCAGCAUGUUCCGACAUCUCCGAGUCAUUAUUCUAACCCGUUGGACAAUAUGAUUGCCGCGGCAACGUGAUUCGUGGCUCUACCGAUCGAAGGUGAGUCUCCGGCAGCGAUAAAGACUCAGAGGGCCAGAUAACUUCUUUAGACAGUUGUGGCUCAACAAGCGGCUUAUUCUUACAGUCGCGAGCGGAUUCACUCCACCCCUCGUCCAAGCCGGAGUUACAGCAGGCACAUUGACUCACCGCCGGUUUCAAGCAGUGAACGACGCCUUAACCAGCCUCAUGGACAUGACCCGAUGCAUGGUGGUGCCAAUGCUCAGACUCUGGUGGAUCAGGGCAGAGCGCGUCGGGAUGCCGAGCUGUCGGCUCAGCAAGCGGCUCAUCAGCACUCUCCGGCUUAUCCGCUAGCUUCGGUGGAGGCAGGUGUGAUUUCUAGAACCUUGGUUCUGCCAUGUCUAGUGUCGGCUCUACGUAACGAGCGUUUACCCAAGGAUUUCAAGGGUCCUCGCAAGGUGCCUAAUUACACAGUAGAUCAACCCCCUGAAGCUUGGAUUGAAAGUUAUGAGAUGGCCAUGGAGAUGCUGGAUGUUAGUGAUGCCGCAUGUGCUAAGUAUUUCACCAUGAUGUUGGACGGCCCGACUCGUACUUGGUUGAAAGGGCUGCCCGCCAACUCCACCGGGUCAUGGGCGGAGCUGAAGGCCCGUUUUAUCCAAAUUUUCAAAGACACAUGCAAGCAGCCUAUGUCAAUCCUGGAUUUGGAUUCUUGUGUCCAAGGUGAGGGAGAGUCAACAACCCGCUGGGUGCGCUGGAUCUCAACUACUAUACACUCAUCAGACAGCAUCAACGUCGGCUCAUUGGUUUUGACGUUGGAGAAAAUUGCCAUUUCCUCCCCCUCAAGCAGAAGCUCGGACGGCUUAAGCGCCACUGUAAUGACACGGGGGAGCUCAUGGCAGCUCUUGUCAAGUAUGCCGACUCCGACAGUACCAAGGACCCCGGGUCUGAUGAUGAAAAGCCGGGAAAGGGAAAGAAGAGCGGCAACAUGAAAGGGCAGUAGUAUAACCCGGCAAGCCAAGGUGGUAAUGGUAAGAGUAAGGCCGACGGCAAUUUAGACUUUGUGGCUAACACCAGAGCGCAGAAUGAUAAUCAGCAUCGCAAAGGAAGGCCAACCCAGCCUGGAGGAUCAAAAUUUGACCUUGAAGCGGUGAUGAAUCAGCCUUGUCUGAGGCAUGGUACACGCCAGAAGCCGGCCACUCAUUUGUGGAAGGACUGCUUUAUCAUGAAGGAGUUCAAGGCUUCCAAUUUUUUUCAGAACAACCAUGGCCCGAACGGCGGUUCAGGAUCUGGCUCUUGUCGAUCGGGCUUUGGUGGUGGCAGUUCUAAUUCCGGCUUUAAGGGCCAAGGCAAUCACGGUGGUUAUAAUCAACAGUCCGGUCAAGGGAAUCAGCAACAGCAGUAUGGUUAUCAGAGUAACCCAAAAUAGUCGAAUAGUGGAAAGUACCAUGUCUUCACCACAAGUUUAUGCAACCGGGAUCUGAAGCUCCAUAAAAGGGCAGUGAACGCCAUUGAGCCGAUGGUUCCUCGUUACUUGUGAUGGUCUGAACACCCUAUUCUCUGGAGCCAUGAAGAUCACCCGCCCCGGGUUGAUAAUCCGGGCCACUUGGCUCUGGUGGUGGCACCUCAGGUUGGAGGGUACAUAUUCACUAAAGUACUCAUGGAUGGAGGCAGCAACAUCAAUAUCCUUUAUUAUGAUACUUUCCGCCGCAUGGGACUGACCGACAAAAAUCUUAAACCGUCCAAUACUAUUUUCCAUGGAGUGGUGCCUGGAAAGUCGGCGUAUCCAGUGGGCAAGAUUGCUUUGGAAGUAGCCUUUGGGGAUGAACAUGACUCCAAAGCGGAGACACUGACCUUUGAGGUGGUCAAGAUCCAGAGCCCGCAUCAUGCUCUGUUUGGGCGGCCAUCUUAUGCCAAAUUCAUGGCACGGCCUUGUUAUUUUUAUUUGCAACUUAAGAUGCCGGUCAUAAUGGCACUAUCACAGUGCAUGGAAGCCGGAAGAUAGCUUUGGAAUGUGAAGAAGGUGAUGCUGCUUAUGCUGAGUCUGUAUGUGCCACUGAGGAGUUGAAAUUUUAUAAAGACAAUGUUGAUUCAACGGAUAUGACGUCUUUGAAGAAGCCAACCACAGAGCAUGACCCUCUGCUGAAAUUUAAGUCGGCAAAUGACACUAAACUAGCUGACUUCGUUCCUGGCGAUUCUUCCAAGCAGUUCAGCAUCAGUGCUAAUCUGGAUCAGAAAUAGGAAAGCGCGCUCAUCGAGUUCAUCCGUGAGAAUCGGGACAUUUUUGCAUGGAAACCUACAGACAUGCUAGGUGUACCGAGGGAACUCGCUAAGCACACUCUCAAUAUUGAUCCCAAGUUUAAACCGGUCAAGCAAGUCCUUCAUCGUUUCAAUGAAGAGAGGUGCAAAGCCAUCGGUGAAGAAGUGUCCCGGCUCUUGGCGGUUGGGUUCAUUGUUGAACUUUUUCAUCCUAAGUGGUUGGCUAACCCGGUGCUGGUACUUAAGAAAAACGGCACUUGGCGCAUGUGUGUGGAUUAUACGGAUCUUAACAAGGCAUGUCUGGCUGAUCCCUUCGCUCUCCCUCGUAUUGAUCAGAUUAUUGAUGCUACAGCAGGUUGCGAGCGUUUGAGCUUUUUGGAUGCAUAUUCUGGUUAUCAUCAGAUCAAGAUGGAAGUUAAGGGCCAAGAGAAGAUAGCUUUCAUCACUCCCUUCAGGGCCUUCUGUUAUGUGUCUAUGCCUUUUGGGCUCAAGAGUGCCCAGGCCACUUACCAGCGUUGUGUGCAAAAUUGCCUUCAUAAUCAGAUUAGGCGCAAUGUUCAUGCUUAUGUGGAUGAUAUCAUGGUGAAGUCCAAGAAGAAGGACACCCUGAUAGAUGAUUUGAAAGAAACCUUUGACAAUCUUCGGAUCUACAAGAUGAUGCUUAACUCGGCCAAGUGUGUCUUUGGCGUACCAGCAGGCAAGCUCUUAGGUUUUUUGGUUUCUGAACGAAGCAUUGAAGCUAACCCGGAGAAAAUAAAGGCCAUCACUUCCCUGUCUAAACCGGUAUGUAUCAAUGAUGUUCAGCAUCUGGCGGGUCGUAUUGCGGCCCUAAGCCGGUUGGGUGAGAAGGCUAUCCCUCAAUACCAGAUGAUGAAGAAGACAUAUCACUUUGUCUGGAGUGAUGCUGCUGAUAAGGCAUUUGAGGCCUUGAAGAAACAGUUAGCUGAGCCGCCGGUUCUUGCUACUCCCAUUGAUAAAGAGCCCUUGUUGUUGUAUGUGGUUGCUAAUAGCUGAGCUGUUAGUGUAGCGAUUGUGGUAGAAAGGAAGGAGUCAGGCAAAGAAUAUCCGGUUCAGCGGCCGAUUUACUACAUUAGUGAGGUGCUCAUUGAGUCCAAGUAGAGGUAUCCGCAUUGGCAGAAGCUUGUAUAUGGGGUGUUCAUGGCUAGUCGAAAGCUCAAGCAAUAUUUUCUGGGUCAUCCCAUCACUAUGGUUAGUUCUGCCCCUUUAGGGGAUAUUAUUCAAAAGUCAAAACAAGGAAGCCAUUGCUCGGGUAGCCAAAUGGGCCAUUGAGCUUGGACCCCAUGGUUUGAGGUAUAUGCCUCGCAUAGCCAUCAAGUCUCAAGCACUUGUGGAUUUUAUCAAUGAUUGGACAGAGUUGCAGAUGCCUGAGGAGAAGCCGGAUAGCACAUAUUGGACUAUUCACUUCGAUGGAUCCAGGCAGUUGGAAGGCUCGGGGGCUGGAGUUAUCUUGACUUCCCCAUGAGGUGAUAAAUUUUGUUAUGUUUUAAGGUUGAUGUUCACUUGUACUAACAAUGCAGCUGAGUAUGAUGCCCUGCUCCAUGGUCUUCGAAUGGCUAAGGAGAUGAACUUAAGCAGAGUGAGGUGUUUUGCUGACUCGGAUUUGGUAGCUCAGCAAGUUUCUGGCACUUGGGAUUCUAAGGACCCACUCAUGACAUCUUAUCGUCGAGAGGUUGAUGUUAUUGCUGGUCGCUUCAAGGGUUAUCAAGUAGAGCAUGUUGAUCGAUGGAAAAUGAGGCAGUUGAUGCUUUAAGCCGGUACCACCCAAUAUUUUCCUUCAUAUUCUGCAUAGUCCUUCAGUCAAACUGCCUACCGA